RNAcentral lists this ribosomal RNA (422 nucleotides) under uncultured bacterium. RNAcentral describes it as "bacterial SSU rRNA". It matches the Rfam family "Bacterial small subunit ribosomal RNA", at positions 359 to 776 of the family's 1533-position model. The record is from RNAcentral.
GAAUUUUGGGCAAUGGGCGAAAGCCUGACCCAGCAACGCCGCGUGAAGGAUGAAAUCCUUCGGGAUGUAAACUUCGCAAGAACGGGAAGAAUAAGUAAGAGUUAAUAUCUCUUACGAUGACGGUACUGUUUGUAAGCUCCGGCUAACUCCGUGCCAGCAGCCGCGGUAAUACGGGGGGGGCAAGCGUUGUUCGGAAUUACUGGGCGUAAAGGGUGCGUAGGUGGCCAACUAAGUCAGACGUGAAAUCCCUCGGCUCAACCGGGGAACUGCGUCUGAUACUGGUUGGCUUGAGUGCAGGAGAGGAACGCGGAAUUCCAGGUGUAGCGGUGAAAUGCGUAGAUAUCUGGAGGAACACCGGUGGCGAAGGCGGCGUUCUGGACUGCAACUGACACUGAGGAACGAAAGCCAGGGGAGCAAACGGG